GACGAACGCUGGCGGCGUGCUUAACACAUGCAAGUCGAACGAUGACGACCGAGCUUGCUCGGUCUGAUUAGUGGCGAACGGGUGAGUAACACGUGAGCAACCUGCCCUUCACUCUGGGAUAACCUCGGGAAAUCGGGGCUAAUACCGGAUAUGAGCUCCUGUCCCAUGGGGGGGGUGGGAAAGUUUUUCGGUGAAGGAUGGGCUCGCGGCCUAUCAGUUUGUUGGUGAGGUAGUGGCUCACCAAGGCGAUGACGGGUAGCCGGCCUGAGAGGGCGACCGGCCACGCUGGGACUGAGACACGGCCCAGACUCCUACGGGAGGCAGCAGUGGGGAAUAUUGCACAAUGGGCGAAAGCCUGAUGCAGCGACGCCGCGUGAGGGAUGACGGCCUUCGGGUUGUAAACCUCUUUCAGCAGGGAAGAAGCGAAAGUGACGGUACCUGCAGAAGAAGCGCCGGCUAACUACGUG
This 467-nucleotide ribosomal RNA is filed under the name uncultured bacterium. Its description in RNAcentral is "partial 16S ribosomal RNA". It matches the Rfam family "Bacterial small subunit ribosomal RNA", at positions 28 to 507 of the family's 1533-position model. The record is from RNAcentral.